This is a long non-coding RNA of Perca fluviatilis (European perch), 1178 nucleotides long. RefSeq lists it as uncharacterized. The record is from RefSeq and is a predicted model, not a curated record. NCBI's taxonomy places the organism in Eukaryota, Metazoa, Chordata, Actinopteri, Perciformes, Percidae. The transcript is spliced from 3 exons.
GGUCAAUCUAACUUGGAUGGUUUAGACAUUAUGGCUGAAAAUCAAUAUCCUAUGGAGAAAAUGAAUGGGAUUUUGCUGGUCUGUUGGGGGCCCCCUUGAGGGCAGGGCCUGUUUCAAUUGAAACGGGUGAAACAUAGGUAAGGCCGCGCCUGGUAGUAGUAGUAGAAGAUUGUAGCUAGCAGUAGUAUUAAGUUAGUUUGAUAACAUUUUAAAAAGGUAUAAACAAAACAAAAUAUUCUUUACUUUAAGGACAUUUUCAAGAUUAAAUAUCAUUUCAUUGUAGUCAUUGUAACCACAUCAUAAAUAGCAAUUAGAUUUAACUAAGUCUAAGGAUAAACUUCUCCCAGCAAAAUCAAACAAACACAGAUAGACUCAAGUUUCACCAACAAUAUGGUAUUAAUAUAUUAACUGAAAACUAUACAUUUCAAAUACAAUAUGAAAAUAAACAAUUGUCAAUUAACUUGCCAUCAAUCAUUGUUUCCCAAAUAUAAUUAUCAAAUUAGACAAUUGGUCUCAAUUCUCAACACAAAUAAACUUAACUGGCAACAAUUUUACACAAUGUCCAUUUUCCAACCGGUUGUGUCUCCAGUUUUCUUGAAUGAGCUGAAUGUGUCUGAAUGAGAGUUCCCUCUUUCAUGAAGGGAUUUCAGUGAAAUACUUUUUCACCAAACAUUUCACACCACCUGUUCACACUAAGGUGCACCAGUUUAAAUGUUCCCCAGGGAAACACAAGCCAAUGAUGGGUUCCACAAUGCAUGCACUUUCUCGCCCCCUGCUGGAGUUUUAUCUUGAAAGAAGUUGAAAGGGUGAAUGCUUAUGUUGUUUACUGUCUUUUGAUGCAACAGUACUGAAGGCCCAGGUGUAAAAUACACAGCCCUCCACUGCUGUAGAUAAACUGCUGGUUGCUAUGGACGCUGCUAUCUCUGAACCCACGGAUCUAGCAUGUUGUUGGUAUCAUAUGUGUUUACAGGAAUAAGGGCGGGUCUCUGUCAGAGGUGGACAUUAUCAUAAAGGCUGUGGAUGUUGAGGGUAGGGGGGUGGGCCAGGUGGACAUUUGGCAUGAGGGCACAUCCACGGGAGAUUCCAGCAUUUAUCCGGUGGAUGGUGUCAGGAUGGAAGUCUCUUCGUGGGAGGAUGGUAGAGAUUAUAAUCUUUGAUGAGGGGAAGGUCUGUGUAGC